AAGUCGUAACAAGGUUUCCGUAGGUGAACCUGCGGAAGGAUCAUUAACGAAUAAUCUGUGGGAGCCGUUAGGCUUCCGCAGAAUAUAUACUCGGGGUGACUUGAUAGAUGGAAACAUCUAGCCCGACACUCCUGAGACAUAUACGCUUGAACCGUUUGACCGAGUAACAAAGAAUGAGACAACAACAACUUUUAACAAUGGAUCUCUUGGCUCUU
RNAcentral lists this unclassified non-coding RNA (215 nucleotides) under fungal sp. RNAcentral describes it as "partial internal transcribed spacer region". The stretch from base 1 to 46 matches the Rfam family "Eukaryotic small subunit ribosomal RNA", at positions 1786 to 1831 of the family's 1831-position model. Lineage: Eukaryota; Fungi. The record is from RNAcentral.